This is a long non-coding RNA of Zalophus californianus (California sea lion), 748 nucleotides long. RefSeq lists it as uncharacterized. The record is from RefSeq and is a predicted model, not a curated record. Lineage: Eukaryota; Metazoa; Chordata; Mammalia; Carnivora; Otariidae. The transcript has 4 exons.
UGACACAGCCAACACUCAGCUUUCAGGCAGUGGUCGUGCAGGAGUGAGAAGCCUGAGUAAGAGGGUGAUUGUGAGAAGCGCUGCCCUGCCUCCUUCCUCCCUGAAUGAUGAGUGCCCAUGCCAGAGAAGAACAAAGCUCUGGGAGUUCCUUCUGCAACUCGGCAUUCUUGGGAGAGAUAGAUGAAGAAAGUAAGGCUGAGGAGGGGAGGCUCCGUAUGAUCCCUGGGGUGUCUGUCCACUGGCCUUUCUUUGCAAUUUUACUUAAUCAAGGAAAGCUUAACUAUGGUGUCUUAAGAAGUUCUCAGCCAAGCAACAUUCUGCCCUGAAGGAGGCCAAAUAUGUGAGAGCCACUGAUGAAUGGGUGGAGGAGGGCCCCCAGUGAUCAGCACACAUCUCCCGGGAAGAGACCAGAGCCCAGGGAAGGAGAAGGAAGAGAGAUCUCGGUCUUUCAAACGGAGAUGUCGAGAAGGAGAUGGAGGUUGAAACAGGACUACUUGGGAGACAUUUCUCACCUUCCUUUUGCCUCUGGAUGGGAAGGACCUGUGAGUUCACUCUGCCACUAACCUUUGGUCAUCUGAAAAAUCCCAGGUCUGUGAUUCUGACAUCUUCAAACACCCACCUAUUACAUCUGACCACUUCCCACAUUUCCUCCCUCAGGAGCUGCCAAACCACAAAAAGCCACCAGCGGCAUGUGGCCCUGGUUUCAACCCCACAGAUGGAAAUUUUGGUAAAGGGGGAUGAGUUGCUA